RNAcentral lists this ribosomal RNA (234 nucleotides) under uncultured microorganism. RNAcentral describes it as "partial 16S ribosomal RNA". It matches the Rfam family "Archaeal small subunit ribosomal RNA", at positions 330 to 560 of the family's 1478-position model. The record is from RNAcentral.
GUGCAGCAGGCGAGAAACCUCCACAAUGCGGGAAACCGUGACGGGGGAAUCCGAGUGCCCGUUGGCUAAUGCUGGCGGGCUUUUCUCAAGCGUAAAAGGACUUGAGGAAUAAGGACUGGGUAAGACCGGUGCCAGCCGCCGCGGUAACACCGGCGGUCAACUGGUGAUCAGCAUUACUGGGCCUAAAGCGUCCGUAGCCGGAUGGUUGGAUUCUGAGUGAAAUUUCCCCAGCUC